GGGUUGUGAGGUUAAGCGACUAAGCGUACACGGUGGAUGCCCUGGCAGUCAGAGGCGAUGAAGGGCGUACUAAUCUGCGAUAAGCGCCGGUAAGGUGAUAUGAACCGUUAUAACCGGCGAUACCCGAAUGGGGAAACCCAGUGUGAUUCGUCACACUAUCAUUAACUGAAUCCAUAGGUUAAUGAGGCGAACCGGGGGAACUGAAACAUCUAAGUACCCCGAGGAAAAGAAAUCAACCGAGAUUCCCCCAGUAGCGGCGAGCGAACGGGGAGGAGCCCAGAGCCUGAAUCAGCAUGUGUGUUAGUGGAAGCGUCUGGAAAGGCGCGCGAUACAGGGUGACAGCCCCGUACACAAAAGCGCAUGUGCUGUGAGCUCGAUGAGUAGGGCGGGACACGUGGUAUCCUGUCUGAAUAUGGGGGGACCAUCCUCCAAGGCUAAAUACUCCUGACUGACCGAUAGUGAACCAGUACCGUGAGGGAAAGGCGAAAAGAACCCCGGCGAGGGGAGUGAAAAAGAACCUGAAACCGUGUACGUACAAGCAGUGGGAGCACNNNNNNNNNNNUGUGACUGCGUACCUUUUGUAUAAUGGGUCAGCGACUUAUAUUCUGUAGCAAGGUUAACCGAAUAGGGGAGCCGGAGGGAAACCGAGUCUUAAUUGGGCGUUAAGUUGCAGGGUAUAGACCCGAAACCCGGUGAUCUAGCCAUGGGCAGGUUGAAGGUUGGGUAACACUAACUGGAGGACCGAACCGACUAAUGUUGAAAAAUUAGCGGAUGACCUGUGGCUGGGGGUGAAAGGCCAAUCAAACCGGGAGAUAGCUGGUUCUCCCCGAAAGCUAUUUAGGUAGCGCCUCGUGAAUUCAUCUCCGGGGGUAGAGCACUGUUUCGGCUAGGGGGCCAUCCCGGCUUACCAACCCGAUGCAAACUGCGAAUACCGGAGAAUGUUAUCACGGGAGACACACGGCGGGUGCUAACGUCCGUCGUGAAGAGGGAAACAACCCAGACCGCCAGCUAAGGUCCCAAAGUCAUGGUUAAGUGGGAAACGAUGUGGGAAGGCCCAGACAGCCAGGAUGUUGGCUUAGAAGCAGCCAUCAUUUAAAGAAAGCGUAAUAGCUCACUGGUCGAGUCGGCCUGCGCGGAAGAUGUAACGGGGCUAAACCAUGCACCGAAGCUGCGGCAGCGACACUGUGUGUUGUUGGGUAGGGGAGCGUUCUGUAAGCCUGCGAAGGUGGCCUGUGAGGGUUGCUGGAGGUAUCAGAAGUGCGAAUGCUGACAUAAGUAACGAUAAAGCGGGUGAAAAGCCCGCUCGCCGGAAGACCAAGGGUUCCUGUCCAACGUUAAUCGGGGCAGGGUGAGUCGACCCCUAAGGCGAGGCCGAAAGGCGUAGUCGAUGGGAAACGGGUUAAUAUUCCCGUACUUGGUGUUACUGCGAAGGGGGGACGGAGAAGGCUAUGUUGGCCGGGCGACGGUUGUCCCGGUUUAAGCGUGUAGGUGUGUGUUCCAGGUAAAUCCGGUUCACUUUAACACUGAGGCGUGACGACGAGGCACUACGGUGCUGAAGCAACAAAUGCCCUGCUUCCAGGAAAAGCCUCUAAGCAUCAGGUAACAUCAAAUCGUACCCCAAACCGACACAGGUGGUCAGGUAGAGAAUACCAAGGCGCUUGAGAGAACUCGGGUGAAGGAACUAGGCAAAAUGGUGCCGUAACUUCGGGAGAAGGCACGCUGACACGUAGGUGAAGUGAUUUACUCAUGGAGCUGAAGUCAGUCGAAGAUACCAGCUGGCUGCAACUGUUUAUUAAAAACACAGCACUGUGCAAACACGAAAGUGGACGUAUACGGUGUGACGCCUGCCCGGUGCCGGAAGGUUAAUUGAUGGGGUCAGCGCAAGCGAAGCUCCUGAUCGAAGCCCCGGUAAACGGCGGCCGUAACUAUAACGGUCCUAAGGUAGCGAAAUUCCUUGUCGGGUAAGUUCCGACCUGCACGAAUGGCGUAAUGAUGGCCAGGCUGUCUCCACCCGAGACUCAGUGAAAUUGAACUCGCUGUGAAGAUGCAGUGUACCCGCGGCAAGACGGAAAGACCCCGUGAACCUUUACUAUAGCUUGACACUGAACAUUGAGCCUUGAUGUGUAGGAUAGGUGGGAGGCUUUGAAGUGUGGACGCCAGUCUGCAUGGAGCCGACCUUGAAAUACCACCCUUUAAUGUUUGAUGUUCUAACGUGGACCCGUUACCCGGGUUGCGGACAGUGUCUGGUGGGUAGUUUGACUGGGGCGGUCUCCUCCUAAAGAGUAACGGAGGAGCACGAAGGUUGGCUAAUCCUGGUCGGACAUCAGGAGGUUAGUGCAAUGGCAUAAGCCAGCUUGACUGCGAGCGUGACGGCGCGAGCAGGUGCGAAAGCAGGUCAUAGUGAUCCGGUGGUUCUGAAUGGAAGGGCCAUCGCUCAACGGAUAAAAGGUACUCCGGGGAUAACAGGCUGAUACCGCCCAAGAGUUCAUAUCGACGGCGGUGUUUGGCACCUCGAUGUCGGCUCAUCACAUCCUGGGGCUGAAGUAGGUCCCAAGGGUAUGGCUGUUCGCCAUUUAAAGUGGUACGCGAGCUGGGUUUAGAACGUCGUGAGACAGUUCGGUCCCUAUCUGCCGUGGGCGCUGGAGAACUGAGGGGGGCUGCUCCUAGUACGAGAGGACCGGAGUGGACGCAUCACUGGUGUUCGGGUUGUCAUGCCAAUGGCACUGCCCGGUAGCUAAAUGCGGAAGAGAUAAGUGCUGAAAGCAUCUAAGCACGAAACUUGCCCCGAGAUGAGUUCUCCCUGAGACUUAAAGUCUCCUGAAGGAACGUUGAAGACGACGACGUUGAUAGGCCGGGUGUGUAAGCGCAGCGAUGCGUUGAGCUAACCGGUACUAAUGAACCGUGAGGCUUAACCUUACAACGCCGAAG
RNAcentral lists this ribosomal RNA (2928 nucleotides) under Salmonella enterica subsp. enterica serovar Enteritidis str. EC20121751. Its description in RNAcentral is "bacterial LSU rRNA". It matches the Rfam family "Bacterial large subunit ribosomal RNA". The record is from RNAcentral. RNAcentral also lists the same sequence under 3 other names. Lineage: Bacteria; Pseudomonadati; Pseudomonadota; Gammaproteobacteria; Enterobacterales; Enterobacteriaceae.